UACGGGGGGAGCAAACGUUGUUCGGAAUCACUGGGCGUAAAGGGCGCGUAGGCGGCCGCCUAAGUCAGACGUGAAAUCCCUCAGCUUAACUGGGGAACUGCGUCUGAUACUGGAUGGCUUGAGUUUGGGAGAGGGAUGCGGAAUUCCUGGUGUAGCGGUGAAAUGCGUAGAUAUCAGGAGGAACACCGGUGGCGAAGGCGGCUUUCUGGACAGUAACCGACGCUGAGGCGCGAAAGCUAGGGGAGCAAACAGG
Molecule: ribosomal RNA, 253 nt
Filed under: uncultured prokaryote
Description: partial 16S ribosomal RNA
Rfam family: Bacterial small subunit ribosomal RNA
Source: RNAcentral